RNAcentral lists this unclassified non-coding RNA (324 nucleotides) under soil metagenome. RNAcentral describes it as "partial contains 5.8S ribosomal RNA, internal transcribed spacer 2, and large subunit ribosomal RNA". The stretch from base 1 to 120 matches the Rfam family "5.8S ribosomal RNA", at positions 35 to 154 of the family's 154-position model. The record is from RNAcentral.
GAUGAAGAACGCAGUGAAAUGCGAUAAGUAGUGUGAAUUGCAGAAUUCAGUGAAUCAUCGAAUCUUUGAACGUACAUUGCGCCCCUUGGUAUUCCAUGGGGCAUGCCUGUUCGAGCGUCAUUUGUACCUUCAAGCUUUGCUUGGUGUUGGGUGUUUGUCCCGAGGGACUCGCCUUAAAGUAAUUGGCAGCCAGUGUUUGGUUUUGAAGCGCAGCACAAGUCGCGAUUCAAGGCUACACGCCCGCUUCCACAAGCCUUUUUUCACUUUUGACCUCGGAUCAGGUAGGGAUACCCGCUGAACUUAAGCAUAUCAAUAAGCGGAGGA